RNAcentral lists this ribosomal RNA (392 nucleotides) under uncultured bacterium. RNAcentral's name for it is "partial 16S ribosomal RNA". It matches the Rfam family "Bacterial small subunit ribosomal RNA", at positions 523 to 918 of the family's 1533-position model. The record is from RNAcentral.
AUACGGAGGAUCCGAGCGUUAUCCGGAUUUAUUGGGUUUAAAGGGUGCGCAGGCGGCCAUUUAAGUCAGCGGUUAAAUCGUGGGGCUCAACCCCAUUCUGCCGUUGAUACUGGGUGGCUUGAUUGCGGUCGAGGUUGGCGGAAUUCGUUGUGUAGCGGUGAAAUGCAUAGAUAUGACGAAGAACACCGAUUGCGUAGGCAGCUGACCAGAUCGCAAAUGACGCUCAUGCACGAAAGUGCGGGGAUCGAACAGGAUUAGGUACCCUGGUAGUCCGCACAGUAAACGAUGAAUACUUGUUUUCGGCGAUAUAAUGUCGGAGGCAAAGCGAAAGCGAUAAGUAUUCCACCUGGGGAGUACGCCGGCAACGGUGAAACUCAAAGGAAUUGACGGGG